This 787-nucleotide ribosomal RNA is filed under the name uncultured Actinomycetes bacterium. RNAcentral's name for it is "bacterial SSU rRNA". It matches the Rfam family "Bacterial small subunit ribosomal RNA", at positions 59 to 824 of the family's 1533-position model. Lineage: Bacteria; Bacillati; Actinomycetota; Actinomycetes. The record is from RNAcentral.
CAGUCGAACGCGAAAGCCUCCUUCGGGGGGCAAGUAGAGUGGCGCACGGGUGAGUAACACGUAGGUAAUCUACCUUUGGAUUGGGAAUAACCACCGGAAACGGUGGCUAAUACCGAAUAAUGCAGCGGCACCUAAUGGUGACAGUUGUUAAAGCGGGGGAUCGAAAGACCUCGCGUCUGAAGAGGAGCCUGCGGCAGAUUAGCUAGUUGGUAAGGUAACGGCUUACCAAGGCGAUGAUCUGUAGCCGGCCUGAGAGGGCGGUCGGCCACACUGACACUGACAUACGGGUCAGACUCCUACGGGAGGCAGCAGUCGGGAAUUUUGGGCAAUGGGCGAAAGCCUGACCCAGCAACGCCGCGUGAAGGAUGAAAUCCUUCGGGAUGUAAACUUCGCAAGAACGGGAAGAAUAAGUAAGGGUUAAUAUCUCUUACGAUGACGGUACUGUUUGUAAGCUCCGGCUAACUCCGUGCCAGCAGCCGCGGUAAUACGGGGGGAGCAAGCGUUGUUCGGAUUUACUGGGCGUAAAGGGCGCGUAGGCGGCCACCGCAAGUCGACUGUGAAAUCUCCGGGCUUAACCCGGAAAGGUCAGCCGAUACUGCGGGGCUAGAGUGCAGAAGGGGCAACUGGAAUUCUCGGUGUAGCGGUGAAAUGCGUAGAUAUCGAGAGGAACACCUGCGGCGAAGGCGGGUUGCUGGGCUGACACUGACGCUGAGGCGCGAAAGCUAGGGGAGCGAACGGGAUUAGAUACCCCGGUAGUCCUAGCCUUAAACGAUGAAUGCUUGGUGUC